Molecule: unclassified non-coding RNA, 3363 nt
Filed under: Leishmania donovani
Lineage: Eukaryota; Euglenozoa; Kinetoplastea; Trypanosomatida; Trypanosomatidae
Description: gene:LdHU3.12.0990(CDS-product:Leucine_Rich_repea t/Leucine_rich_repeat_putative)
Source: RNAcentral
CCACCCGCCUACACCCACACCCACACACCGGCGGAUAUACACACCACAUACGACAACGUUGCUCGUGCUGUGUGUCGAGAGGAGCGGCGGAUGCACUUGCUCUUUCCUUCCCUUUUUUUUGUAUUCUCUGUGUAGCCGCUUCUCUGCUCUUGAGGGGUCUUUGCGGUCUGCGCGUGCGUGUGCAGACUUCCGUAUUCAGACCGUGAGAGAUUGCCACCGCCGCGACCGCACCCCUUCCCUCCCUUCCACUCCCAGCGCGCUCACACGCAGAAGAGUCAGCUCUUUUUUUCUUCUGGGCUCCUCUUGACCGGCAAGAUGUACGCGUCACUUGGGAUAUCGUCCGAGCAGGUGUACGGCGACAUGUACACGGCAUGGCUGCGCGAUACACAUGAGAAGAACACACCAGAAGUGAAGCGGCUUUACACGACCACAAUCGAGAAUGGAUUCGGUGAUCAGAAAAUCUUGCUGCGCCGGCAGCGGCUCGGCGCCAACUUCAUCAGCAGCCUUGCCCCGUUGCUACACCAGUGCUCGUUGGUGAAGCUUGACCUCCAUGGCAACAUGUUGCGCGAUGUCGGGUGUGAGAUGCUUAUUCAUGUGUUGCGGGAUGCGCCACAGCUGACGUAUCUUGACCUAGGGGCAAACGCCAUCGGCUGCUCUUCGGUCGUGGCGAGCGGCAUCAGCGGCGGCGGCGGCGGCGGCACGGUUUUUAAGGGCAAAGGUAGUGGUAGAGGCAGCCCAGCUGGCACCCUUGCCUCUCGCAGGGGUGGAGCGGGGAGCAGUGGCGGCGCGGGUGGUAGUGGCGCUCGUGUCAGCAGUAGCUAUCUCAACGCCAUGCAGGGUCUCGGCAACGCUAUCGCGCAGCACAAACGUCUGGCGGUGCUCAUCCUCGGCUCUGAAAGGGAGGAGGCCUAUGCGAAUCAGAUUGAGGCCAUCGGUGCCAUGCUGCUGCUCGAAGGCUGCGUGCUGAGCCGCACGCUGAAGCGGCUCGAUCUAAGCGGCAACCCCUUUGCUAUGGACGGCGACACUCCGUCUGCUGGCGCGGUGCCGGGGUCCCUUGCAGCGAUUGGAGGCGCUGCUGCCGGCACCCGCGUCGGUAGUGCGUCGACACCAGGAAUGGACACGGCUGCAGCAAGGGGCGGCGGCGCUUAUGGGAUGCGUUCUGCCCCGCGCACUCCGGUGCAGCUAAUCGCCCAGCUUCUGCGGACGUCUGUGACGCUCACACAUUUGACGCUGCAAUCGGUGUGCCUCACCGAUGGCGGGGCGGCACACCUCUUUGAGGCCGCUGGCGCCAGCCGCACACUCCAGCAUCUCAACCUAAGCGCUAACGGCCUCUCCUCUCAUGUCGCUGAUGAGGCCGGCAGACUACUGCAGCAGCGCACCGCGGUCGCGCGUGGUGGCGCCUUGGGCUGCACGCUGCAUUCGUUAGUGCUGGCACACAACGAUCUGUGGGACAACGGCGCCGCAGCGGCACAGGCGCAUCGAGGCAGCUUGGGCAUCGGCGCCGCCGCUGCGGCCCGGCCGGCGACGUGUGAUGGCAUCGGGCUACACAACCGUGCGCAGAGUACGACGGCGAUGACCUUGACGCCAACGUCGUCGCCGUCGAAGUUUGUCGACCGCACGCGCGCCUUGCGGGAUGGCACUCACGGCGAAACUGACGAUGCUUCUCAGUCGGGAUAUCACUCUCAGCAGCAGCAGCAGCAGCGCGACCCCUCUCCAGGGAUCGUCCUCCUGCUCGCUCUGAGCCACGAUCAGUUCAUUACUACUCUCAUUCUGGACGACUGCGUGAUGGACGACACGGCGCUCUACACUCUCUGCCAGUCGCUCAUGACAAACGCGAUGCUCAAGGUACUCUCGAUGCGGCACAACAACCUCUCUCCCGAUGGCGUUGUUCAGCUCGGCCGCUCCUUGUGCCGCCAUCCCUGCCUAGAGCGGCUUCUCCUGUCCGGCAAUGCAAUCGAGGACGAGGGCGCCUGCGCCCUUGCCACGGCCCUUGGCCAGCCUGAUGCGCCGUUGGUCGAGCUGGACCUCGUCAAGACGUGGCUGGGCGAUCGCGGGCUGAUGGCGAUUGGCGUGGCGCUGCAGACCAACACUUCGCUGCGCGUGCUGCGCGUCUCGGACAACCACUUCACUCACAACGGCGGCGCCUCCUUCGCGGCGCUGCUGGAGAGCAACAGCUACGUUGUGCAGUGUGAGUUGGGGGCGACAAGCGUGCCGCAUCACAUUUUGCUGCGGGUGGAGCGGACGACGGCGCGCAACUGCACCCGCGCCGCAAACGCAGACGCUGACGCGCUCAAGGCGGAGGUGGUGCGCCUCCACUACCAGAAGUAUAAGCUGUCAGAGGCGCACCUGGAGCUGGAGGCGCUGCGAGAGAACAACACCGAGGUGAAGCGCACCAUCGAGAACUUCGACCUGCAGACCAAGCAGGACCACAGCGACUUCCUGAAGCGCAUUCGCGAACUCGAGGAGCACAUCGAGAAUGCAAAGCAGCAGGAGGCGCGAUAUACGGAGCAGAAGGCGAAACUGGAGGCAGACCUGACCAAGGCGGAGCGAGCCCACGAGGUGGAUAUGACCUACAUGGCGGAGCGGCUCUCCGUCGAAGUCGGUCUGCGCGAGAAGGCCGAGGCGGAACUUCAACAACGGCAACGGGAGCUGACUUACUGGCAAGAAAAAGGGCCGGAGAGGGAGGCGCAGAAGCGGGAGCAGCUCGCGGCGCUGAAGGCGGAUCAAGAGGCGUGGUCCUCGCAGCGCAAGGCGUACCGCGAUCGCACGGCCGAGCUCCAGCAGCAGGUUUCCACGCUCGAGGCGGCUGCGGCGAGCGCGGGCGCGUCAAGAGGUAUGCCCAAGAGGCGCAAGAAGUCCACAAUGGUGUGAGGGAAGCCAGUGUGCUGGUGCGAUCUUGCGCGUGUCGGCGAUGGUGAUGUUUGCUGAGGGAGUUCGUUUGGGGUGCCUUCGGCUCCUCUUUGUAUUUUCUACGAUGUUUCGGUUUUUUUUUCCCGAGGAUUCUUUUUUUUUUUUCGGCUUCGCUACGCUCUCACACUCAAUGUCCUUGCCUUGGGCUGUGCACCGCCUUCUCCUCCUUCUCCUCCUUCUCCCCCGCUGCGCUGGAGCUGGAUGUGGUGUCGAAAUGAAUGGCGCGUUCAGCGCUCUGCACGGCACGUGCGCAUCCCUCUCUUCGUUCGUAUCAUGUAAACUAGGCAUGUGUGUGUGUGUGCGUGCGUGCGUGCGUCUCUCUCUCUUCUUCCGAGUGUGAUAGCAGACCUCUGACGCGCUUUCGCGGUUGAGAAGCGGGAUGCCGACACCACCCGGUGUUCUUCGCUUCUUCCUCCACAGUUUUCUCACGCUCUUUUUUGUGUGACGCCGCAG